CUUCCUCUCCCGAGCAAGAUCAAAACCACCUGCUUCGGUCCUAAGCAAAAUCGCAGCAUAAAUCGUUUCAUUCUGCCUCCUCGUCCGAUCCUCUCUUCCUCCUCCUUCCUCUCUUCGCUCUUCCCGGCUAAGGUAGGGGCCGACGAGAUCCGAACAGCGAGAGGACGCCCACGACCACCAUGGCACGGUUGGUCGGCAACGUGAGGGAAUCCGAAGGAAGAGAGAACAGCACCGAGAUCCAGGAGCUCGCUCACUUUGCCGUCGACGAGCACAACAAGAAACAGAAUGCGCUUUUGGAGUUUGUGCGUAUUGUGAAGGCGAGGGAGCAAGUUGUCGCUGGAACUCUGCAUCACUUGAUGGUGGAGGUAGUUGAGGGAGGGGAGAAGAAGAUUGAUGGAAUCGUUAUUUUGGUGCCGUUAUUUUGGUGUUCAUUAUUGUGCCGUUAUUUUGGUAUGUCGGAAUCGUUAAUCUGGUCCCUGCGCUACCGUGAGCUCAGUCCUGGUGACGACCUAGGACACGAAUCGGGUCUCCGAGGUUGGAAGACCUCUGCCGCAAGGAAGGGAGUGAACUGCCGAAGCCCAAGCUACAUCGCCGCCAAGCCCAUGCUCCGGCAGCUUCCUCACAGGCGGUUCUUCUGAAUUCCGAAGACCUUCGUACAUCCUGACUCUCAUCCUACUAACCUGCCAAAGGAGGCGUUGCAUGCCCCCGCCUUCACUGAAGUAGCACCGCCUGAGUCGAACCCUUACAUCACUCACUCACCCGCCACUAACUCUUCCUCGUCGACAAGUACAGUGGAGACUGUGAAGAUCGUGGUUAAGAGAUGGGGAAAAAACUCGUGGAGUUGGCGAAGAAAGCUGAGGACUUGUCUAAAAAUACAUGGCAGCAUCUGAACACAGGACCAAGUUUUGUUGAAGCUACCAUGGGAAGAAUUGCUCAAGGAACCAAAGUGAUUGGAGAAGGUGGCUACGAUAAGAUAUUUUGACAAACUUUUGAUACCCUUCCUGAAGAACAGCUAAAAAAAUCCUAUGCCUGUUAUUUAUCAACAUCUGCUGGUCUGAAUGGAGUUAUUAUAAGUGUGGGUGAAGACAUGGCUUAAUUUCAAACAGGUUGAAGAAUUCAAGCAUGUUGACGAACAAGAAAAUUGGGUCAUAUAGUCAAAGAAAUGCCUUAAGGUGUGGUCUAUGGUGGGCAGAAAUGCUCAAGGCCACGGGGCAGUUCAAGGAUGCCGCAAAUAUAUUUUUUUUUUUUUGCAUUUCUAAUGAGGAGCCUUCUCUGCAUGCAGCUGUGAUGCUUGAACAAGCAUCCUACUGCUAUUUGCUUUCCAUCCCGCCAAUGUUACGCAAGUAUGGUUUUCAUCUUGUUUUGUCUGGAAAUCGUUAUUACAUUUCUGAUCAGAGACAACAUGCGAUUCGAGCUUACAGGAAUGCACUCUUCGUUUACAGAGAAAAUGGUUGGAGUUAUAUAUCUGAUCAUGUUCACUACAAUGUUGGAAGGUUCUCUAUGCUUUGUUUGUAUAUUUGUGCAUUUAUCUUUGAUGCUUUUGACCUUAUCUCCUUCCAUUUACUUACGUGGUAUUCUUUUAUUGGAGUUCUUGAUUUGGCUAUCAAGCAUAUGCUGGAGGUUUUGGCUUGCAGUCAUCUGUCCCUAGCCACACAAAAUGUAUUCCUUAAUGAAUUUUCCGAUGUUGUCCAGCUGAAUAUGAUUCUUUUACUUCAUUUGUAAUUGCAAAUUCAACUUUUUGAUACCUUGUGAACCACUGAAGAUCCUUAUUGCAAGCAUUGAAGUGAUUGAAGAGUUUGCUAAGAGUCCAUGUUUGGAGCACUACAAGAACCUUGGAGCAACUUAAUAUUUCGAAUAAGAUGUAGUAGGAGCAUAUAGAGCCUGCGUUGUGUUCUCUCUAUAGAAAAAUGUUCUACUCUUAAUUUCCCUUAAUACUGGAUAUAUGAUGUAGUAAACUAAAUUCUUGAGUAAAUAAAAAAAUAUUUAAGUACUAA
Molecule: RNA transcript, 1994 nt
Organism: Zingiber officinale
Lineage: Eukaryota; Viridiplantae; Streptophyta; Magnoliopsida; Zingiberales; Zingiberaceae
Gene name: trafficking protein particle complex subunit 8-like
Exons: 10
Source: RefSeq, a predicted model, not a curated record